UACUGGGGGGGCGAGCGUUGUUCGGAAUUAUUGGGCGUAAAGGGCGCGUAGGCGGUGCGGUAAGUCACCUGUGAAAUCUCCGGGCUCAACUCGGAGCCUGCAGGCGAAACUGCCGUGCUAGAGGGUGGGAGAGGUGCGUGGAAUUCCCGGUGUAGCGGUGGAAUGCGUAGAUAUCGGGAGGAAGACCCGUGGCGAAAGCGGCGCACUGGACCACAUCUGACGCUGAGGCGCGAGAGCUAGGGGAGCAAACAGG
This 253-nucleotide ribosomal RNA is filed under the name uncultured bacterium. RNAcentral's name for it is "partial 16S ribosomal RNA". It matches the Rfam family "Bacterial small subunit ribosomal RNA", at positions 524 to 776 of the family's 1533-position model. The record is from RNAcentral.